This is a non-coding RNA of Caretta caretta (loggerhead turtle), 687 nucleotides long. The record is from RefSeq and is a predicted model, not a curated record. Lineage: Eukaryota; Metazoa; Chordata; Testudines; Cheloniidae.
CUAGGGCUGGCCCUAGGAUGGUGCUCUUGGAGUAUGGGGCCAUAUCUUCAUACACUGAAGUGCACAUGUCUAGGCAGUUGAAGCUGCUAUCAACCCCACAGUCAUUUCUGUGCUUCCACUUUUUGGUGCUAUGCAUGUGGGAAUCAGAGAUAAGACACAAGGCCUGAAAGACUGUGCAAUGCAGACAACAGGCCAGAUCCAACGCUGGUGUGUGCAACACAACUCCGCAAGUCAAUGGAGCUCCACCAGGUAAGGAGUGGAAUUUGAAUGGAAGAACAUGGGGAAACAGUGCCUCUUGUGUACGCUUUUUUAAAAAAAGAAAGGAUCAAUAAAUGGAUAAGAGACAUGGAUAGGUUGUUCCUGUUGUGAGAUCUUAACUACGCAAACCAUCACCAGAAAUGCUAUCCCAGAGACGUCAAUGGGUGAAAAUCACUUAAGAAGGACUUUGUCAGGGGAAGAGAAUUAAAAAGGUAUCUCUAUGAUGGACGAUAUGGACAGGAAAAACAAGGAUGGAUGAAAGAAACACUUGACCACCUCCCAGGACUGAAUUCAACUGGCUAGCAGUCCAUUGGAAACUGAGGAUGAAAGCAUGAAGGUUAGAUCUUAGAGGGAGGCAGUUCUUCAUGCACAGCUUUUGUCAAUCCUGAUUUUUGUUUUAAAAAAUAAAAACAUGGAAAACCAAGAUCA